GAUGAACGCUGGCGGCGUGCCUAAUACAUGCCAGUCGAGCGAACAGACGAGGAGCUUGCUCCUCUGACGUUAGCGGCGGACGGGUGAGUAACACGUGGAUAACCUACCUAUAAGACUGGGAUAACUUCGGGAAACCGGAGCUAAUACCGGAUAAUAUAUUGAACCGCAUGGUUCAAUAGUGAAAGACGGUUUUGCUGUCACUUAUAGAUGGAUCCGCGCCGCAUUAGCUAGUUGGUAAGGUAACGGCUUACCAAGGCAACGAUGCGUAGCCGACCUGGAAGGGUGAUCGGCCACACUGGAACUGAGACACGCUCCAGACUCCUACGGGAGGCAGCAGUAGGGAAUCUUCCGCAAUGGGCGAAAGCAUGACGGAGCAACGCCGCGUGAGUGAUGAAGGUCUUCGGAUCGUAAAACUCUGUUAUUAGGGAAGAACAAAUGUGUAAGUAACUAUGCACGUCUUGACGGUACCUAAUCAGAAAGCCACGGCUAACUACGUG
Molecule: ribosomal RNA, 497 nt
Filed under: uncultured bacterium
Lineage: Bacteria
Description: partial 16S ribosomal RNA
Rfam family: Bacterial small subunit ribosomal RNA
Source: RNAcentral